Artibeus jamaicensis (Jamaican fruit-eating bat) is the source of this 141-nucleotide small nucleolar RNA. RefSeq annotates it as small nucleolar RNA SNORA42/SNORA80 family. The transcript has a single exon. NCBI's taxonomy places the organism in Eukaryota, Metazoa, Chordata, Mammalia, Chiroptera, Phyllostomidae. The record is from RefSeq and is a predicted model, not a curated record.
ACCAGGUUAAAAUCCUACACUUACUGGGCCUUUACCUGUGGGCCUCUCAUAGUGUACCCACGUCAGAGUAAAUUACAACCUUGAACCAUUGCCCAGCCUCCUCAUCUGUGGGCUGUGAGCAGUGAAGGGGGUUGUACAGUG